Molecule: ribosomal RNA, 333 nt
Filed under: Procambarus llamasi
Lineage: Eukaryota; Metazoa; Arthropoda; Malacostraca; Decapoda; Cambaridae
Description: partial 16S ribosomal RNA
Source: RNAcentral
UGGUUGGACAAGAAAUAAUCUGUCUUAAUUUAACAUAUUGAAUUUAACUUUUAAGUGAAAAGGCUUAAAUGAUCUGAAGGGACGAUAAGACCCUAUAAAACUUUAUACUUAUAAAUAUAGUAGUCAGUUUUAUGUAGUGUUAUUAUUUUGAGGUAUUCGGUUGGGGUGACAAGGAUAAAAUAAAAAAUAACUGUCUUUUUUGUUUACAAAGAUAUUUGGUUAGAUGAUCCUAAGAAUGGAUUAUAAGAUUAAGUUACUUUAGGGAUAACAGCGUAAUUUUCUUUAAGAGUUCUUAUCGACAAGAAAGUUUGCGACCUCGAAUGUUGAAUUAAG